Molecule: non-coding RNA, 8450 nt
Organism: Xyrichtys novacula (pearly razorfish)
Lineage: Eukaryota; Metazoa; Chordata; Actinopteri; Labriformes; Labridae
Source: the annotation of a GenBank genome assembly
GUCACCGAUGCCUCACUGGCAGGUUUCCACAGUGUCAGGCACAUUUCAGUGCAAUAAAUAACCAACAACAACUAAUAUUCUGAGUCAGCACAUACAUUUAGAUCUAUAUCGAUAUAUUCUGAUCUAUAUCUGAUCUGAUGAGCGCGUUUGGCACGCGUUCGGACACUCAACCUGACCGAAUUAACACAGCUGAAACAGCAUUAAAUUAAAUUAAAUAUCUAGUAAAUAGACACACAUGAUGAAGUUAACGAUAUGAAAUUCCAAAUUUAUUUUAUAUGCCAACAUCUAUGAAAGAAAGAGCCAGGCCACGGAGCGCAAUGCGUCAUUACGCACAGAUGGUUCUGAUUUCAAUGCCAUUAUUGGAAUUUAUGAUGUGAUCUCUGCGCACAACCCACCUUUGUCACGUGAGGUUUGAAUAUGUGCAACUUUAUGUGAGUGUCUUUAUUUGUGGAAAAGGGUGUUUGUCGUACUAGUGGGUCCAACAUUACACACACCAAAUACAUCUGAGCUCAUAUGAGAGAGUGGAGGACGCCCCCUGCAGCGUUUACAGCGACACUUGUUGAGGAGUUGCCUUCUGUCGCCAUUGUGUGGCAUUACUGUCUUCAGAUGUCUCUUGAUUUCUUUGACUACUUCACGAAAAUAGUAAUACGCCUCGCCGGUGGCGGAUUUAAAGGCGAGGAUAGGGGGUUAUGUUUUUGGUCAAUACAGGUCUCGGCUGUGUUAAACCCACUCCACGCCUUCUCUCUUCCCUCGCUAUGACUUACGCCGCUGGGAGGAGCUGAGUGAGGGAGAGGGGAUACUUACGCCGGGCUGCGGCACUCACCAAAAUACCAAAUUGUGCUUGGAAACGCCUUGUCAGCACGGCAGACCUGACUUACGCCACACCUGCACCACGUCUCUGGCGAAGCACGAAAAUAGAGCUCUGUGUCUGGACAGAGUGACAUUUCCUGAGACUGGCUCAAACAGGAGGAGGCUGCAGAGGUGGGACAGUGGCUGUAAAGGGUUUUGAUGAAAUGCAUAAGUCCUUGCAAAAUCUGUCAGUUUUUGCAUAAAUCUAACAUCACACACACACACACACACACACGCACGCACACACACACACACACACUCUACACCGUAAUUCAUAUUAAACACGUGCGUCAUCAUUUAACCUCUGAAUGACUUCAUUAACCUUUUAUAAGAGUUGCCAUCUUCCCUCUGAAAACUGUGUCCAUAAUAAGACUCAGGCACACUGCUGGUAUACCCCAAAACUCUGAAUUUAAUGUUCUGAGCAAAACAGUACAAUGAAAUGAAGAACCUUUGAGCUGUAACCAUGAGUCAUACAGAAGCAGGGAUCAUAUAAGGGAACAGGAAUGGUGGACUUUUUUAUAAAUGUCAUGGUAUUAGAACCCUUAACACAUCGAAUGUUGGAGGUAAUGGGGGUUAUAAUGGUCUGUAACACAGUAAUGUUAUGUGUUUCUGUUGCUAAGUUAGUACAGUGUACAGUGUUGGCCUGGCAGGAGAUCAGCAAAGAGAUGGGGAUACCUGUCAAGUAGUAAAAUAAUAUGUAUCAUGUAUUUUGAUUUUCAUGCAAUUGGUUGCAUGGCAAAGCUAGCCAGCAUCUCUUAAAGUUAGCACAACUAUUGCUAGCCAGUUAUAAACGUCCUGACUCUGGGUGUUGAUCAAAGACUGUAUAUAAAAUGGACGCCGUCUGCCUCCUCACUGGGUAAAGCAACCCAGAGAACAGCACCCUCCGGUGACAGGCUGCAGUAUAGGUCAUAAAUCCUGCCUCCUUUAGCCACCCCUAUGGAGAUGUGGACAAACUUUAGAAAUUAAUUACACAGAAUAUAAUUUUUUCUCCCCCCUUGUUGUGGUGUUGACAUGUAGUUACUGUAAGACUAGUUUGUGCUCAAUUCCUCUUUUUUCUGUGAAGCUCAAUUUUUCAAGGUUAUUAGGGGGUUCAUAUUUUCUAUGAUUGACACUUGAUACAGCCCAUGGGCGUAUGAAGAUUGCGUAGCUCACCCUGGGUAUACGCUGUUUGAGCCGAGUGUCAUCACAGUGACCUUGGAGACUCUCCUGCCGAAUGCAUAUAACGCUUCUUCGCAAGUGGUGGAGUGCAUACAACACUAUUGCGCAAUGUUGGUUUCAGAGUGGAGAGAAAACACAGAAUUACCAAGAGCUUUUUGGUUUCAAAUCCGUAUACUGGCAGAAGGCAGAACCAAGUUGUCCAUAGUAUAUACAGUCUAUGGAGUUGAUUCACUGCUUUUUACCAGAGGAAACCCGCCAAUGUAACUGGAAGGGACUGAGGGGGACAUACCUCCAAGUGAGAGAAAAGGAGUGUGACAGGAGGUGAGUAAGUAAUGAAGUGGUUUUACACGAUGUAAUUCGCUGUCAUAGGACAGAGGAGGGCCUGGAAGUACAGAGGGCAGGAGGGGAAAAUAGAGGUCCUGCUCCUGGAGACCCUCAGAGGACAGCAGCAGCAAGCCCCCUUAAAGUUGUUUUCUUUUUAUUCCAGUGUAUAAUCAUAAGGUUGUUAUUAAUGAAGAUAUUUGAUGAGCUAAUUUUAAACUGCAACAAUGCAGGAGCUUGGCUCAAUAGUGGGAGUGUUUGGUUCUCUAAAGGGCCAUAUUGAGCUUGUGCAUCACCUGCCCUCGAGCUACUUUCUUCUGCAGAAAAGAAGGAUGUGAAGGUCUCCCUCAGCCUACAGGCCUCCCUUGCUGAGUUAUUAGCAGUGAAUACAGCAAUAUAUGACUCCUCUGUCAUGGGCGCAGCCAUACAGUUGUCCAUAAGGCAGUCCCAGAUAGCAGAGAUAACAUCUGUGAUGAUGCUUGCCACAGUGGAAACCCCAACAUGGAAGCUGUUUGUGAUGCUUCUACAGGAAUCACCAGGAAACUUGGUCAAAUGAGUUGAUAAAUAGAAUUCCACAGUCCUUUUCAUAUAUCUGCAUAAAAUAAACCCAGCAGUAGUUUCAGAGUAGCUUGAAGGACCUAACAACACUGUAUGAUGUCAGUCUUUUACAGCAUUGAGGAACACAGUUGAGUAGUUUUCUGGCUUUAACCUGGGUAAUGGCUGAGUCCCUGUUCUUUCUCUGUAGCUCCACAUAUUCUAUCAUCAGAGUCCACUGUUGGGCAUAUAUGUACAACAAUGGACUUUUGAACAGGUAUGUGACAUCAAACAGAUGGGAGUCCAGACUCAGAAUUAAAAAAUAAUAAUAAUAAUAGUGUAGUCUUAUUCUUGACACCGUUUUCAUUGGAGUGCUGUUUUGGCUAAACUUCACAACUUUGAUGUUGUCUUAAGUGUGUUAGAGCAUAAAACUGAGAUUUUGUGUUGAAGAUUUUGGUUAGCAGUUAUGUUUUCCUCUCUGUUGUUCUGUUACUUAAUCAAGCAAAAAGAUAAAUCAACACCUCUGAACAAAUUGAAACAACAUUAAGAUGUCUCUUCAUUCAUCCAGAGGAUUUCCCCCCUGAGGCUGGAUUUGUUAGUUUCCAGUUAUUAAUCUCUGUUCAGUAAACAUAAUGAAAGGAAAAUGAGUGUAACAGCUCUCAGUCAGGCUUUGUAAACCAAUGAUCCUUUCAUUUAGACAUUCAUUCAUUUACUAAUGAAUGAAUGAAAUGUUCAUUUACUUCAUUCAUUGGUAUUUCCCUUAUCUUAAAUGUCCAGGUAACAGGUUAUAAAAGGGGUGUGCAUGCGUGCGUGCGUGCGUGCGUGGAUGGAUGGAUGGAUGGAUGGAUGGAUGGAUAGAUAGAUAGAUAGAUAGAUAGAUAGAUAGAUAGAUAGAUAGAUGCUGUAACUUGUUUGUGAUUUAGAGUAAAAGCUGGAAGGUGUUUUCAGAUCAGUCUGAUCACAUCAGUAUGUGUGGCUCUGUGUGUAAAACAAAAAAAAAAAUGGGUCCUGUUGGAGGUCACUGUAAUCAUGUAAAUUUUAAUGAACGGUUCACAUGCUUUGAUCACCAGUUCAUAUCCCUGUAUUCUCAUCAGGGGUUAUAUGAAUAAAAGCAGGUGCACACUGGUGGCUGUGUAUCAGCAUGCAAUUCAUUUAUCUAUACACAUUUUCUUUCUCGACAUACUGAUCGAUGAUGGGUGUGAAAUGAUGGUUCUUUGGUCAACUGCAGCCCAGGGGAUAUUAGUGGGCGUAAAAUCAGAGGACAGUAGGCUGUAAAUAUUAAUGCACAUUUUUUUCUGCAGGAUCACAGAGCCACUCUGCCUCAGUGUGUCCAAUAUGGAUCCAUUUAUUAAUGUCUAUGAUCGAUGGCACUGCUGGUAAUGCAUACACAUUAUGAUAAAUCUAGCUCUUGAUUGCAUGUGGGAGCUUGUGUUUAUGUGAACACAUGUGCAGCAGCAGAAAGAGUCUCAAGAUGUACCAAAAGACUUUUACAGACUUUUAUUGUAGAUGCACAAAAAAUUACAACUAUUUCACCCCUGGUAAUGAUCAUUUAUGACAAGGCAGAAACUGAGAGAGAGCCAGAUGAUCCAGAUGAUGAGAGAGCUAUAGGGAAACAACAACAUGUGUGGAGAGCUUUACUGUUGAGUAAAAGCUGCAAAGGGAGAGCCAGAGGCUGUUUUAUUUGGAGAGUUUACACAGUGAGUUACAGGCGCAAGAGGGAGAGACGGUAUCAGAGUGAGGCUUAAAAUGACAUCCAGCAGAGUGUGAGGCACAUACAGAGCAUCCACAAGCACCAGACCAUCAACUCAGCUCAGCUUCAUUGUCAGUCAUCUGAACAGGUCCUGAAAAGCAGCUGAGCCAAAUUGCUUUUCUCACAGAUCUGUAGCCAAGUGAUGCAAAGACAACUAACAGACGAUAAAUAAAAGUAACAAUAACAUAACCUGUAUGAUUCAUACAGCUGUCGGAAAUUCAGCUGUAGGAAAUAGUGUUGAGUAAAAGUUCAGGCUAGUUGUAAAGAUCCUUCAACUCAAAAAAGUCCUGCUAAGCAAUCUUAAGAUUGUUUUAAAAAGUUACAGGUUUUGUGAUGAAUAUCUUGUUUUAAGACUGCUAUGGUAAACCAUUGUUUAAGAGUUACAAACACACCACAGAUCUUUCUCAAAUCUGUCUUUCUUGUCUAAGAGCCUGUUUGACGUUACAUCUCAAAAAUGUAAAAGUACUCAACAUCUAAUGAUCUUUUUGAGCUGCUGCACUCUUCAUUUAGCAUAAAGCACUGACUGAGGUUGCAAGUGACUUGUUGUUAGAUGUUGACUUGGACUAGACUUCUGCUAUGUUGUUUUUGGAUCUUCUUGCUGCCUUUGGUCCAGUGGAUCACUGGGUAUUAUUGAAUACACUUGAAAAAACUUCAGAAACAUCUCCACAAUCAUCUCUAAGAUCAAAUCUGUUCAUCGUUUGUCAUUGUCUCAUUGUCCAGUCUUAGCGCUGAUCUGAGUCAAGAGGCUGAGUAGUGUCACGCUAGCGCUGCUAAUCUUGCUACCAUAAGGGCAAGAAAAGCUGCGCUUUAACAACACAGCCAGGUGUUGAUAGGAUGGCACCUGGCAUGGGAUCACAGUUCAAAAAUGUAACAUCAAACAUGUUAAACUGCCCCUCUAGUCUGUUUUCACAUUGAAUGACCACAUUUUUCCCAUUAGCCUUAUAAUUGCAGUCUUAAAAUGUAAUAGCUACUUAUAGCAACUAUAAGUAUAUCUAAGACAAUAAUGGCCUUAUUUUACUUGUUUUUAUCUACUGUACACCUGCACAUGAAACAGACCCUAAAAUUUUGAAAUACCAACUAACAUAAACACAAAUCAUUGGUAAAACCACUCUCUGUCAUGAUGUGUCUGCCAUCCUCAUGACUGAUGCUGAGACUCCAGUGACUAUCCCUCAGUGCUGAGACCCCCAUCUGUCAUGCCCCCAACAGAAGUUAGAUCCCACAUUUUCAUUUUACCUUGUAUAACAAACCAAAUGUUCAAUUUCCUUUGUACAUAUAUUCAAGUACAGGUAACUCUUCCGCAUUGUCUCCUCCACUGUGCCACUGUAUAAAUGAGGUGAAGUUGGAGAUCAUAGGCUGUUUAUUAUGUUAUUUGUUACAAUACAAUACAUGACGAGUAUAAGUAUCAUUAUUAUUAUUAUGAUUAUUAUUGUUAUUAUGAUGAUGAUGAUGAUGAUGAUUAUGAUGAUUAUUAUUAUUAUUAUUAUUAUUAUUAUUAUUAGUAGUAGUAGUAGUAGUAGUAGUAGUAGUAGUAGUAGUAGUAGUAGUAGUAGUAGUAGUAGUAUCAUCAUUAUUAUUAUUAUCAUUAUUAUUAUUAUCUUUCCCAGUGUGUCAAACGCAUUUUUCCUCACUUAGUCAUCCCUUUGGGAAUCACAGCCUUUGCAACCCAUUUAUAUGCAAAACAGGCUUCCUGCACCGCAGUUUACACAAUUAUCAGAUGAUCUCCUGCUGACAGAAGAGGAACAAAACCUGUCACCUUCUGACUCCCUCUGGAAGUAAUUAUCACAACUGAUAAGCUAGGUAUGACGCCAACCUGAGUUUCUGUCGAAGCAACCAUGUAGCUUUUCUCUUUCUUUGCUAAGUCCUUAACACAUCUAUCCAGAAAAUUAUGUAGACAGCGAGGUCAGCGGACUGGGCAUUCAAAUCAAUAGAGGUGAAAUACAGCCGCUUUAAACUGGGAACACAAAGGGAAUGAUAAUGGCACAACAGUCAAUACAGAGGUGCUGAUAAAUGAGAUAACGGAUAACGGCUUAUGGGGUAUGUGCACAUAAAUUACUCACAGAGUGUCAGUGCCCCACAGUUUUAGCUCUUAGCAGGUCUAGACUGAUCUCAGCUAAUGUAUUUUGCUGACUGGAAACUUCUAGUCUCCUUCCUUUCAUUGAUGAGUGAUCAUUUUUAACAUUCAUUACAGAUUUCCAUAGAGCUCCUGGGACUUUCUGCAAAUGCUGCAUUCAUAAAUAUGAGGAAUGUUGAAGCAAUGACUAAAGAGAGUCCAUCCUAAUAUCUGAUGUUAUUUCGUACUGCAGAGAUCAUGACAGCAUUUAAAUCUCUGCUGAUAAACUUCAAAGCUGGAUCAGAACUUGAUUCAGUCUUUUCAUGCCUAAUCAUAUUUGUUUGCGCUAAUAAAUGGAACUUAUUGAAUAUUGGGGUAGUAGUAAUGCUACUACACUGAUAGAGGUGUACAGAGUUAAAAUGAAGUUGACCUUAAUGAGUCUUCGUGACUUCAGUAAUGAAUCAGUUCAUACAGGAACAGUUUUAUUGCUGUUAGGCCAAUUUUAGUGAGAGCAAACAGUCUCACUUGAAUCCACUUAAAUCCAUCAUUGAAUUCAAAGACCAGUUAAAAUAGUAAGACUUCCAAAGGAUCAUGUCUGUCAGUAUCUGUCAAGUUGAUUUAUUAUUUCCCUUAUUAUUCCCUAUUAUUUCCCAAGUUGAUAUAUCUAUUUGUUUUAUUUUUUAACCCUUGUCUAUCUUCUCUUUCCAUUCUUGUUGUGCUGCCACCCUCACCGUUGAUCACCGGUUCCCUCCAAAAUGUCUUGAAAUUCUUUAUUGGGAAUAACCACUUGAGAUGAACCAUCUCGUUUUCGAGGGGAUCCUCAAAUACAGAUACGUAGAAAUACAUAUCCAUGGAAAACAAAACAAAGCCAACAAUAACAAAACAAAAUUAACAAAGCAAUAACAAAUAAAUGACAAAUGUGUUGCACCUGUGUCUUGUUAGCCUCACUCCCCUUUCCUUCUUAAGCCCUGGUGUUAGUUCUCUGCCAGAUUAUCGCUAUCUUCCUAGUUCAUACAUACAGCUUUUUCUCUUGUUUGUACUCCUCAUGUUUUGACCCAUUUACCUGAUCUUGUUUUCAGAUUUUUGCUUGCCGGACUUUGUACCUCUGCUCUCACGAACUGACUCUCUGUGUACCAAACUUGUUUCUGGAUGAAAGACUCUUGUGAACACUUAAGGCUCUAUUUUCGUUCGCGCCGGUGAGGCGGCGGAGGGCGGCGAGCCCCACGCAGUUGUAUUUUCGUCUGGCGGAGCCCGGUGUAAGGCGAGUUUGGUAUUUUCGUGGACUGAGUCGCACGGAGGCGAGCCGAGAUCCGCCAAGCUGGGCGUGGUGGCGUGGCAGGGGGAGGUGUUGACAGAAUCAGCUGGCGCAGUGACAUUUUCGUGCUCGCCACCGGCGUGUAACGUGCGCUGAAAGCUCGCCGAUUCAAACCUGGUCAGCUUUCAGCGCAAGGCGGAACGCAGCUGGUCUAGUAGUAUUUUGGUAGACCGGCGGCGUAUCGACAUACGUCACUGAUGCCUCACCGGCAGGUUUCCACAGUGUCAGGCACAUUUCAGUGCAAUAAAUAAUCAUCAACAACUAUUAAUCUGAGUCAGCACAUACAUUUAGAUCUAUAUCGAUAUAUUCUGAUCUAUAUCUGAUCUGAUGAGCGCGUUUGGCACGCGUUUGGGCACACAACCUGACCGAAUCAAUACAGCUGAAACUGCAUCAAAUUAAAUUAAAUAUCUAGUAAAUAAACACACAUGAUGAAGUUAACAAGAUAUGUAAUGUGUCUCCCUCCUUUUCUUUCU